Molecule: small nucleolar RNA, 138 nt
Organism: Tachyglossus aculeatus (Australian echidna)
Lineage: Eukaryota; Metazoa; Chordata; Mammalia; Monotremata; Tachyglossidae
Source: RefSeq, a predicted model, not a curated record
CCCCUCUCAGGAUCGCACCUGGAGGGUUUCCAAUACUCUACCAGUCUCAACUGCGGAAGGGAGAGUCAAGUAGAGGCACACCCAUUCCAUUCCUAGCUUGGGCAGUGGCUAGUGAGUGGAAGGCAAUCAGUUACAGGU